RNAcentral lists this small nuclear RNA (111 nucleotides) under Gorilla gorilla gorilla (western lowland gorilla). The record is from RNAcentral. Lineage: Eukaryota; Metazoa; Chordata; Mammalia; Primates; Hominidae.
GUGCUUGGCUUCAGAAGCACAUAUGCCAAAAUAAUUAGAACGAUACAGAGAAGAUUAGCAUGGCCCCUGCACAAGGAUGACAUGCAAAUUUGUGAAGCGUUCCAUAUUUUU